RNAcentral lists this ribosomal RNA (503 nucleotides) under uncultured bacterium. RNAcentral describes it as "bacterial SSU rRNA". It matches the Rfam family "Bacterial small subunit ribosomal RNA", at positions 355 to 874 of the family's 1533-position model. The record is from RNAcentral.
UGGGGAAUAUUGGGACAAUGGGGGCAACCCUGAUCCAGCGAUGCCGCGUGAGUGAUGAAGGCCUUAGGGUUGUAAAACUCUUUCAGAUGGGAUGAUAAUGACAGUACCAUCAGAAGAAGCUCCGGCUAACUCCGUGCCAGCAGCCGCGGUAAUACGGAGGGAGCUAGCGUUGUUCGGAAUUACUGGGCGUAAAGCGUGCGUAGGCGGCCUAGCAAGUUGGGGGUGAAAUCCCGGAGCUAACUCCGGAACUGCCUCCAAAACUGCUAAGCUAGAAUCCUGGAGAGGUGAGCGGAAUUCCUAGUGUAGAGGUGAAAUUCGUAGAUAUUAGGAAGAACACCAGUGGCGAAGGCGGGCUCACUGGACAGGUAUUGACGCUGAGGUACGAAAGCGUGGGGAGCGAACAGGAUUGAGAUACCCUGGUAGUCCACGCCGUAAACGAUGGGUGCUAGGUGUUGGGCAGCAUGCUGUUCAGUGCCGAAGCUAACGCGUUAAGCACCCCGCCU